Molecule: ribosomal RNA, 119 nt
Filed under: Helianthus annuus (common sunflower)
Lineage: Eukaryota; Viridiplantae; Streptophyta; Magnoliopsida; Asterales; Asteraceae
Source: RNAcentral
GGUUGCGAACAUACCGGAACUAAUGCACCGGAUCCCAUCAGAACUCCGCAGUUAAGCGUGCUUGGGCGAGAGUAGUACUAGGAUGGGUGACCCCCUGGGAAGUCCUCGUGUUGCAACCC